Molecule: ribosomal RNA, 431 nt
Filed under: uncultured bacterium
Lineage: Bacteria
Description: bacterial SSU rRNA
Rfam family: Bacterial small subunit ribosomal RNA
Source: RNAcentral
UGGGGAAUUUUGCGCAAUGGGCGAAAGCCUGACGCAGCAACGCCGCGUGGAGGAUGAAGGUGCUCUGCAUCGUAAACUCCUGUCGGCCGGGAAGAAGGGGUAUGGGGCUAAUAGUCCCGUGCUUUGACUGUACCGGCAAAGGAAGCCCCGGCUAACUCCGUGCCAGCAGCCGCGGUAAUACGGAGGGGGCAAGCGUUACUCGGAAUUAUUGGGCGUAAAGGGCGCGUAGGCGGUCCUGUGCGUCGGAGGUGAAAUCCCCGGGCUCAACCCGGGAACUGCCUCCGAUACGGCGGGACUUGAGUCCGGGAGAGGGGAGCAGAAUUCCCAGUGUAGCGGUGAAAUGCGUAGAUAUUGGGAGGAAUACCAGUGGCGAAGGCGGCUCCCUGGACCGGUACUGACGCUGAGGCGCGAAAGCGUGGGUAGCAAACAGG